GCAUGGCCCAUGGAAGAAAAGGUGGCCUCUACCUGUAAGCUAUCGCCUGAAGAGGGGUUUGCGUCUGAUUAGCUGGUUGGAGGGGUAACGGCCCACCAAGGCGACGAUCAGUAGCCGGUCUGAGAGGAUGAACGGCCACACUGGAACUGAGACACGGUCCAGACUCCUACGGGAGGCAGCAGUGGGGAAUCUUCCGCAAUGGGCGAAAGCCUGACGGAGCAACGCCGCGUGAGUGAUGACGGCCUUCGGGUUGUAAAACUCUGUGAUCCGGGACGAAAAGGCAGAGUGCGAAGAACAAACUGCAUUGACGGUACCGGAAAAGCAAGCCACGGCUAACUACGUGCCAGCAGCCGCGGCAAUACGUAGGUGGCAAGCGUUGUCCGGAAUUAUUGGGCGUAAAGCGCGCGCAGGCGGCUUCCCAAGUCCCUCUUAAAAGUGCGGGGCUUAACCCCGUGAUGGGAAGGAAACUGGGAAGCUGGAGUAUCGGAGAGGAAAGUGGAAUUCCUAGUGUAGCGGUGAAAUGCGUAGAGAUUAGGAAGAACACCGGUGGCGAAGGCGACUUUCUGGACGAAAACUGACGCUGAGGCGCGAAAGCGUGGGGAGCAAACAGGAUUAGAUACCCUGGUAGUCCACGCCGUAAACGAUGGAUACUAGGUGUAGGAGGUAUCGACCCCUCCUGUG
This 681-nucleotide ribosomal RNA is filed under the name uncultured bacterium. Its description in RNAcentral is "bacterial SSU rRNA". It matches the Rfam family "Bacterial small subunit ribosomal RNA", at positions 186 to 845 of the family's 1533-position model. The record is from RNAcentral.